GAAAGGGACGCUAAUACCGCAUACGUCCUACGGGAGAAAGCAGGGGACCUUCGGGCCUUGCGCUAUCAUAUGAGCCUAGGUCGGAUUAGCUAGUUGGUGAGGUAAUGGCUCACCAAGGCGACGAUCCGUAACUGGUCUGAGAGGAUGAUCAGUCACACUGGAACUGAGACACGGUCCAGACUCCUACGGGAGGCAGCAGUGGGGAAUAUUGGACAAUGGGCGAAAGCCUGAUCCAGCCAUGCCGCGUGUGUGAAGAAGGUCUUCGGAUUGUAAAGCACUUUAAGUUGGGAGGAAGGGCAGUAAGCGAAUACCUUGCUGUUUUGACGUUACCGACAGAAUAAGCACCGGCUAACUCUGUGCCAGCAGCCGCGGUAAUACAGAGGGUGCAAGCGUUAAUCGGAAUUACUGGGCGUAAAGCGCGCCGUAGGUGGUUUGUUAAGUUGAAUGUGAAAUCCCCGGGCUCAACCUGGGAACUGCAUCCAAAACUGGCAAGCUAGAGUAGGGCAGAGGGUGGUGGAAUUUCCUGUGUAGGCGGUGAAAUGCGGUAGAUAUAGGAAGGAACACCCGUGGCGAAGGCGACCCACCUGGGCUCAUACUGACACUGAGGUGCGAAAGCGUGGGGGGCAAACAGGAUUAGAUACCCUGGUAGUCCACGCCGUAAACGAUGUCAACUAGCCGUUGGAAGCCUUGAGCUUUUAGUGGCGCAGCUAACGCAUUAAGUUGACCGCCUGGGGAGUACGGCCGCAAGGUUUAAAACUCAAAUGAAUUGACGGGGGCCCGCACAAGCGGUGGAGCAUGUGGUUUAAUUCCAAGCAACGCUAAAGAACCUUACCAGGCCUUGACAUCCAAUGAAAACCUUUCCAGAGAUGGAUUGGUGCCUUUGGGAACAUUGAGACAGGUGCUGCAUGGCUGUCGUCAGCUCGUGUCGUGAGAUGUUGGGUUAAGUCCCGUAACGAGCGCAACCCUUGUCCUUAGUUACCAGCACGUUAAGGUGGGCACUCUAAGGAGACUGCCGGUGACAAACCGGAGGAAGGUGGGGAUGACGUCAAGUCAUCAUGGCCUUUACGGCCUGGGCUACACACGUGCUACAAUGGUCGGUACAGAGGGUUGCCAAGCCGCGAGGUG
This 1125-nucleotide ribosomal RNA is filed under the name Pseudomonas sp. KFC-42. RNAcentral describes it as "bacterial SSU rRNA". It matches the Rfam family "Bacterial small subunit ribosomal RNA", at positions 153 to 1264 of the family's 1533-position model. Lineage: Bacteria; Pseudomonadati; Pseudomonadota; Gammaproteobacteria; Pseudomonadales; Pseudomonadaceae. The record is from RNAcentral.